CCGGACGCGACGGCAGCCCGCUCUCGAGCUAACUCUCCAUCGCAUCGUGCAGCUGUCUUUCUUCUCUUUCACGAACACGGUUGCCCGACUGAAACAACUAGACCACAUUAGUAGCCUGACAUCAAGAUAGGUCUCUAUUAUGUGCCCAUCCGUCUGAUUAAGUCUUCUUUGGAGCAAACUGUCAGACAUUUGCGGUAGUAUACAGCUGAAAUGGAAUUUCCGUUCAACCAAACAGUAUACUUCAAGGCUAUUUCUCAGCGACGAGGGUUAGCUCCAGGUAGCAGUAGCAGGCUGGAAGUAACACACAUGUGCAGUGUUUCAGUCGAAAACGAAUACCACCCAUUCAAAAUCGGUUAUAGGAUCUUGUCCAUAUGUCCAUAUUUUUGUAUGCAUGUGAAACAUGGACCAUGACAGCAGACAUUAAAAGAAGGAUACAGGCACUGGAGAUGAAAUGUUUCCGCAAACUCCUCAGUAUCUGGUAUAGAGAUCACAUAACCAACGAGGUAGUGAAAAUCAGAAUUGGAAACACCAUAGGGCCGUAUGAAGACCUCCUGACUUCAGUGAAAAGAUGCAAAGUAAAGUGGUAUGGGUAUGUCACAUGAUCAUUUGGACUGGCCAAGACUAUUCUACAUGGAACAGUACAAGGAGGGAGACGAAAAGGCAGGCAGAGGAAACGAUGGGAAGACAACAUUAACGAGUGACCUUGACUGAAACAUCAUACUUCGUAAAGCCAAGAACCACGAGGAGUGGAGGAAGCUGGUAGUAUAAAUCUUCAGUGGUGCCCCAAGGGUCAGCCAGACUGUGGGAUAGGUGAAGGUGAAGGUGAAGGAAGCUAAGAAUCAGAUAGUUAGACAUUAUAUUGGAUCAUUUAUCCUUUCCUUCAAAAGAAAUGUUGCUUUAUACUGUAGCACAUAAACAAUGCUUUUUAAUUGGCAAUAUUUCAGUUCAGUACGCUUGUUAUUAAUUUCAUCAAACAUUAAAAUGUAAAAGGGAGAAACACUGUCAUUUGAAAAUCAAAAUGUAAGUCAUAAAAAUUUCACUGUCUAACUAUCUGAAUCUUGUCAGGAUCCAUGUACGAGUUAGUGCAAUUCUUUUCUCUUCACUACAACCGCAUUGAUUUACUUUAAUAGCAUGUUACUAGGUACAUCAAUUGAUGAGAAAAAGCAGCAAAACGCUUUAAAUUUGUUGUAGUCUUAAAAUUAAAGUUGGAAGUUUCCUAAAAAGGGAAUUUUAGAACACUCCUUCAACUGACAUGCACGGAUGUUAUACUUAUAAUUUCCAUACAUUAAUGUCUUUGUAAUGCAUGUUACCAAACAAAAAAAAGUAUCAUCAACCAUUCUUGUCAUUUCCUGUGCAAUUAUUUUCACAUCCUGGCUUAACAGUACAUAAACAGUGCUCUUUUAUUUUCAAUAUUUCAGAAAAAUGCAUUUGCAUUAUGAUACAUGCAGGUAUAGUUGGUCAAGUAAGAAUAUAUUUACAGCAUGCUCACUAUGAAUUGAUUAAAUCGCCAUUGAAUCUAAAAGGUAUGUUAUACCUCAUUGUAUAUUCAGAAGGAAAAAGUGUGAGGAUAGCUU
RNAcentral lists this long non-coding RNA (1574 nucleotides) under Strongylocentrotus purpuratus (purple sea urchin). Its description in RNAcentral is "uncharacterized LOC115928650". The record is from RNAcentral. Lineage: Eukaryota; Metazoa; Echinodermata; Echinoidea; Camarodonta; Strongylocentrotidae.